UGCCGCUGCCAUCCCAACCUGAGCAACACCUAGUCUCAUCUGAUUUUGGAAGCUAAGCAAGAUCAGGCCUAGUCAGUACCUGAAGGAGAGCCAUUACCAGUCACAGUUGACA
RNAcentral lists this ribosomal RNA (112 nucleotides) under Pogona vitticeps (central bearded dragon). The record is from RNAcentral. Lineage: Eukaryota; Metazoa; Chordata; Lepidosauria; Squamata; Agamidae.